This 487-nucleotide ribosomal RNA is filed under the name uncultured bacterium. RNAcentral's name for it is "bacterial SSU rRNA". It matches the Rfam family "Bacterial small subunit ribosomal RNA", at positions 29 to 507 of the family's 1533-position model. The record is from RNAcentral.
AACGAACGCUGGCGGCGCGUUUUAAGCAUGCAAGUCGAGCGGCAAGGGUAGCAAUACCCCUAGAGCGGCGGACGGGUGAGUAACACGUGGACAACCUACCCUUAGGUGAGGGAUAGCCCAGGGAAACCUGGAUUAAUACCUCAUAAGACCACUGAUAGGAGUAUGAGUGGGGAAAGGUGCUACGGCGCCGCCUGAGGAUGGAUCUGCGUCCCAUUAGCUAGAUGGCAGGGUAAAGGCCUACCAUGGCGACGAUGGGUAGCCGGCCUGAGAGGGUGAACGGCCACACUGGAACUGAGAGACGGUCCAGACUCCUACGGGAGGCAGCAGCUAAGAAUCUUCCGCAAUGGGCGCAAGCCUGACGGAGCGACGCCGCGUGAACGAUGAAGGCCGCAAGGUUGUAAAGUUCUUUUCGGGAAGGAGAAUAAGGGGAGCAGGCAAUGGCUUUCCGAUGCCGUGAAUCCCGGAAUAAGCCCCGGCUAACUACGUG